Molecule: long non-coding RNA, 3181 nt
Organism: Canis lupus familiaris (dog)
Lineage: Eukaryota; Metazoa; Chordata; Mammalia; Carnivora; Canidae
Exons: 4
Source: RefSeq, a predicted model, not a curated record
CGUUCAACUGCAGAGCCCCCCAGGCGCCCUAAAACCGUUUUGUUUUGUUUUUCCCAAAACCAUUUUUAAAAAGUAGUUUCUUUUUGCAAUGUGCAUCUGAGCCUCUAUUUGAACCCCAAAGUGUGUGGCAGUUUGUGAAUCCACAUUGGAGAGACUCCGCCCGCAAGCGUCACUCCAGUCUCAUCUCCUAGAGUUGAGUAUAUGGCACUUGCCUUAUGUUUUCCAACAUACAUUUGGAAAGUGCUGGUCGAAACUGGAUUUCAGACCGGCUGCUUCUGAGAGCCGAGGACUGGCACUCCGGCUCUGCUCCCCCCGAUGUCUGGCAGCGGGGCCCGGUGAGCAGAGCCGAACACACAGCGGCCACGUGUGACUCACGGCUUUUGCCCAAGGAGCUGACCCACUCGCAGGUGGUGGCCUUUGUGAAACACCCACACUUUAAAGGAAAACGACACCAUUAGUGCUUUCUCCCCUGAAAAGAGUCACAAAAGUAAAAUGGAAAAUAUACCAUCUGAGCGGUGGCUGUCCUGUGAAGUAGAAGCACCGCAUCCAGAAAUCAAAGAAUCCCUGGCUUCACUCUGUGAACCGUUUUUUCCCCGAUCUCAGCUUAUUUCAUUCCUGAAAGAAAGGAUUUCGGAGGGGCCAGCGCAGCGGGAGGUGAGGGGCCCAGCGCUGGGCUUCCCUCCUGUCCCUCCUACCGUUUCCUCUGUCUUGUAGUCCCCGGGCGCUGUGCUAGGCCGGCGCAGGUGUUGCCAUCAUUCUGCUGUUCGGAUUUUUUUGACCAUUGGUUUUGGGGGUGUUCACUUGGCGCAUGUGCCACAAGGAGCGCCCCCAGCAGAAGGCCUGCGUGUUCUGUGUCCGUGCAGGACUUGGGGGGAGGCAGGCCGCGCGUGGACCAAGCUGGUGCCUUGCUUCUCGUGCUUCCCAACCGCGUCACCUGGGGUGUGUGGCCUCAGCUCGCCCACCCUGCUUGCCUUGUCUGUGAAGUGGAGGCAACAAGUGCAUACACGCCUCCUAGAGUUCUGAGGCUCUUGACAGUGUGCCAGACCCCGGAUUGUACUCUGAGCUCCCGCAGCGGUUCCGUCUCACCUUCCCUGCUCCUGAAGAGCUGUUGGUCCAUCAAGAAGGUGGGCAAAUAGAUGAACACCACCUGGGGAGGACAAAGUCUCAAAGAUUAUCAAGGACUUGGAGGUGGAUGCUUUCUUCGCCUCUUCUAUUGAAAGAUAACUCGGCAUUCUGAGCCUGAAAAAUAUGGAGCAUAGAUGGCUGCUGUUGCUCCUGGCAUCAUGGCCAUGUUCACGUUGGGAAGGAGGUAGAGGUCAUGAUGGUUAUCUCCAUCCUUUUUAUGAAGAAAACAGAAGCUUAUGUAGAAGUUCCUCCCCACCUCCUUCUCACUGGCCGGAGUGGGUGGUGUGGCCACCCCUAAUUGCGAGUGAGUUUGAGAAAGGAGAAAGUAGAGUCACCCAGAUUGACUUGCCCUGUGGCCUGAGGUUUGAACCUGAGUUUGGAUUCUGCUAACAAGCCGAAGGGGACGGGUGGUCCCUAGUAAGCAGCACAUGAUGUCUCCGAUGCUUUGCUUUGAAAAGCUGAGUUCCUGGGACAUUCAGGGAGUAUGGCUGGGCAGUGAGGAGGCCUGGGACCCGGGCCACGCCGCCCAGUGGGGCAGAGCAGCAUGACCCCCGCCUCGCCGUAGAGGGAACCACGCUGGGACGGCAGACACAGAGGACAAAGUGAAGCAGCAGAUUAUUUGGUUGGAGGGAGCGAACCGUGAGAAGUGGGAAGGGCUCCUCCUUGUAGAUGGGUCCACGGAAGCCUCUUGAUGACACCUUAGUCGUUCUCCAGAUAUUACUGAGUGCUGAGUGCUAAGUGCUCCCUGAGAGUGGAGCUGGGCCCCAGGGACACGGUGGAGAAGCCAGGAGAAGGCCAUGUGUUCGGUGCUGACCGACCCGGGAAGGAGGCCCAAUCCCCACCGGGCGGCAGACGGUGGCAGGUGGAGGCAGUGCUGCGGGGACGCAGACAGCUAGACGAGGGGGGACGUGUCCUCCCAACACCCCCGAAGCAGCUCCUGUGGCCACUGUACCGCCGAGGACACUGAGGUGCCCGGGUGGUGUGUGGGAGCCUGGCCAUCAACCUGCCCGGCCCCCAGAGCACAGCCUUGGGAACUUGCUCGUUGCGGUGGCCUCCUGGGAGUGGGCGGCCAGGCCCAGGGACUGUCGUGUGUGCCGGGGUCCUUCGUCAAGGCGGUGACAUAUUCUUCUUCUGCUGCUUCUUUUUUUUUUUUUUUCAUUAACCCUUUAAGAUUUACCCGGUAUCGACUUAUGAAUACCAACCUCUUUGUGUAUAUUCCUCAUAACAUGAGAAAAAAAUGUAUAGUGACCAAAUGCAGAAUGCAUUCCUGUUCUCAUAAUUAGAUGGACUCCCCCCCCGACAAUGUCUUCACUUUUAGUCAGAAGCAGCAAAUGCAAAGAAACCAUAUUAAAGAGAAAAGAGGGAGGAAAAGCUGGAAUCAGACACUUAGAGGGAAAAAAUACCAAGAAGUCUGCUCUAAAACAACUUUCCAGAAGCUGUUUUGCAGAGUACGGAUGACGUCAAUCAUCCGGGGGUGGUUUUGAAGGGAGAGAAAGGCCUGGCAUAUUGUCUUCAUGGGACCUAAACAAACAAAAAAAGUAGAAUGUGUUCCUCGCCCCACUGGGGGAGAGUGCUUGGACAGUCACACUAGUAUUUAGGUGACGCCGGUGACAAUGCACGGCGCUCUCCAGCUGCCUCUUUAUCUAGCCCUGUAAGUGUGGGAAGAGUUACCUUGCUGGCCUCGAGCCUACGUGCUCUGCACUUUCUGUGCCUGGCCUGGGAAGCACGGAACCAGGGGCCGGGGCCUGGGUCCCGAGCUGUCCUGGGAGGCACGGCCACCUCGGACACAAACGCCCCAUCUCGUGUCUGAGGGCAGGUGUCCAGCACCUGCUCUGCCCUGUGACGGGUGACCGUAGUGUCUGAGCCGCUUGGUGCUUUGGUUUCGGAUUGAUAAUGUGACAAAGGCAGGAAAAGUAAAAGAUGAAUGUGGAACCGUCUAUGGGAAUGGAAAGGAAGGAAGAAAAGGAAAAGAAUAGUGAUGCUUGGGGGCACCUGAGUGGCUCAGGGUGUGACCCCGGGGUUCCAGGAUCGAGUCCCCCAUCGAGCAUGGAGCCUG